This 82-nucleotide transfer RNA is filed under the name Pollicipes pollicipes. RNAcentral's name for it is "tRNA-Ala". It matches the Rfam family "tRNA". From Rfam's summary of the family: Transfer RNA (tRNA) molecules are approximately 80 nucleotides in length. Their secondary structure includes four short double-helical elements and three loops (D, anti-codon, and T loops). Lineage: Eukaryota; Metazoa; Arthropoda; Thecostraca; Pollicipedomorpha; Pollicipedidae. The record is from RNAcentral.
GCGGUGGUGGCCGAGUGGUUAAGGCGUCUGACUCGCAAUCAGAUUCCCUCUGGAAGCAUAGGUUCGAGUCCUACCGACCGCA